Molecule: long non-coding RNA, 322 nt
Organism: Dermacentor andersoni
Lineage: Eukaryota; Metazoa; Arthropoda; Arachnida; Ixodida; Ixodidae
Source: RefSeq, a predicted model, not a curated record
GGACGUCCCUGGUGUUGAGAUCGCAGGUUCCGCAGCUGCAAGGACGAAAAACAGACAGUCAAAGAGAACACCAAGCCUUGUGUGGAGAUCCCAUAUGGCAGUCAGAACUGUCGAAGUAUUAUGUGAAAAAGCUGGAAGAUGAAACAAGUUCACUGCUUCAUCACCUACCAGGUGCCAACAUAAUAAAAUUCGGUCACAGCAAACUGUACUGGGGUGGCUGGACGGUCGGCUAUGUUGGCAUAGGCAACACAACCCUCCAGCAACCACAUGGCACAGCACCGUUAUUGCUUUUGUUGCAUUAAAACAUUUGUAGUAUUAUUUA